This is a long non-coding RNA of Planococcus citri (citrus mealybug), 722 nucleotides long. RefSeq lists it as uncharacterized. The record is from RefSeq and is a predicted model, not a curated record. Lineage: Eukaryota; Metazoa; Arthropoda; Insecta; Hemiptera; Pseudococcidae. The transcript has 3 exons.
CUCCUUUUUUUCUGCCAAGUUUCAAGCAAAGCAACAGUUUCGUUUAGUUAAAAAAAACUCCAAUAGGUUCGGUAAAGUGCGGAUAUCUGUUAUCAACAAAACUUUUGUCAAAAAAUAAAAAUUCUUUGUAGGAAAAAUUAAAAUAGCAAUCAAAAGAUAAUUUUGCUUUUGCUUUUAUAUUCAAAUGAGAUUAAUUGAAAUAUCCAUUCCAUUAUCCGACGGGAGUUUACUAAAGUCAAUCUCAAUAGUUCAGUAUUCGUUUAGUUUCUACAGAAAGGAAUACAAGAUUCAAGAAUUCAAUAUCAAGAAUAUCAACUUCGUAUCACUGAAAGAUUUUGAAUAAGAAGCUGCAUUGAUUGCCGAAUCUUCGUCUUUGAUAGAAAACCAACGUAACAACUUCAUCACCGAAACCGAUCAUGAUUUGAAAUUUGAGAUACAGUCGAAAGGAAUCUGCAGUCUGCACUCUGCACACUUCAAAAUAAUCAACCUAUAAUAUCCUGGAAAAUUUGCUGUCCUAUUUCGAAUAGUCCAAGUCUGAUUUACGAAAGCAAGGUAAAGUCAAUAACAAUUCUACAUGGAUUUUAUGCAUUUUAAGAAGACGCUGCUAUCAAGAUACCCGAAUUGAAAUUUUCGAAAAUGAGUUCAAAACAUUGUUUUCGAUGGUCUUGACUCUUGAGUGAGCUGAUGAGAAAAUUUCUUGUUCAUUCUGAAUCCAAAAACCG